GAUAAACGCUGGCGGCGUGCCUAAUACAUGCAAGUCGAGCGAACGGACGAGAAGCUUGCUUCUCUGAUGUUAGCGGCGGACGGGUGAGUAACACGUGGGUAACCUACCUAUAAGACUGGGAUAACUUCGGGAAACCGGAGCUAAUACCGGAUAAUAUUUUGAACCGCAUGGUUCAAAAGUGAAAGACGGUCUUGCUGUCACUUAUAGAUGGAUCCGCGCUGCAUUAGCUAGUUGGUAAGGUAACGGCUUACCAAGGCAACGAUGCAUAGCCGACCUGAGAGGGUGAUCGGCCACACUGGAACUGAGACACGGUCCAGACUCCUACGGGAGGCAGCAGUAGGGAAUCUUCCGCAAUGGGCGAAAGCCUGACGGAGCAACGCCGCGUGAGUGAUGAAGGUCUUCGGAUCGUAAAACUCUGUUAUUAGGGAAGAACAUAUGUGUAAGUAACUGUGCACAUCUUGACGGUACCUAAUCAGAAAGCCACGGCUAACUACGUGCCAGCAGCCGCGGUAAUACGUAGGUGGCAAGCGUUAUCCGGAAUUAUUGGGCGUAAAGCGCGCGUAGGCGGUUUUUUAAGUCUGAUGUGAAAGCCCACGGCUCAACCGUGGAGGGUCAUUGGAAACUGGAAAACUUGAGUGCAGAAGAGGAAAGUGGAAUUCCAUGUGUAGCGGUGAAAUGCGCAGAGAUAUGGAGGAACACCAGUGGCGAAGGCGACUUUCUGGUCUGUAACUGACGCUGAUGUGCGAAAGCGUGGGGAUCAAACAGGAUUAGAUACCCUGGUAGUCCACGCCGUAAACGAUGAGUGCUAAGUGUUAGGGGGUUUCCGCCCCUUAGUGCUGCAGCUAACGCAUUAAGCACUCCGCCUGGGGAGUACGACCGCAAGGUUGAAACUCAAAGGAAUUGACGGGGACCCGCACAAGCGGUGGAGCAUGUGGUUUAAUUCGAAGCAACGCGAAGAACCUUACCAAAUCUUGACAUCCUUUGACAACUCUAGAGAUAGAGCCUUCCCCUUCGGGGGACAAAGUGACAGGUGGUGCAUGGUUGUCGUCGGCUCGUGUCGUGAGAUGUUGGGUUAAGUCCCGCAACGAGCGCAACCCUUAAGCUUAGUUGCCAUCAUUAAGUUGGGCACUCUAAGUUGACUGCCGGUGACAAACCGGAGGAAGGUGGGGAUGACGUCAAAUCAUCAUGCCCCUUAUGAUUUGGGCUACACACGUGCUACAAUGGACAAUACAAAGGGCAGCGAAACCGCGAGGUCAAGCAAAUCCCAUAAAGUUGUUCUCAGUUCGGAUUGUAGUCUGCAACUCGACUACAUGAAGCUGGAAUCGCUAGUAAUCGUAGAUCAGCAUGCUACGGUGAAUACGUUCCCGGGUCU
This 1372-nucleotide ribosomal RNA is filed under the name uncultured bacterium. Its description in RNAcentral is "bacterial SSU rRNA". It matches the Rfam family "Bacterial small subunit ribosomal RNA", at positions 28 to 1381 of the family's 1533-position model. The record is from RNAcentral.